CUGCAGCUCAAGUGGUGACCACUAUUAUUGGGCCUAAAACGUUCGUAGCCGGUUUGGUAAAUGCCUGGGUAAAUCGUGUAGCUUAACUAUACGAAUUCCGGGUAGACUGCCAAACUUGAGACCGGGAGAAGCUAGAGGUACUCCUGGGGUAGAGGUGAAAUUCUGUAAUCAUGGGGGGACCACCAGUGGCGAAGGCGUCUAGCUAGAACGGGUCUGACGGUGAGGAACGAAGCCCUGGGGCGCAAACCGGAUUAGAUACCCGAGUAGUCC
This 270-nucleotide ribosomal RNA is filed under the name uncultured archaeon. RNAcentral describes it as "partial 16S ribosomal RNA". It matches the Rfam family "Archaeal small subunit ribosomal RNA", at positions 477 to 747 of the family's 1478-position model. The record is from RNAcentral.